This is a long non-coding RNA of Anguilla rostrata (American eel), 1828 nucleotides long. RefSeq lists it as uncharacterized. The record is from RefSeq and is a predicted model, not a curated record. Lineage: Eukaryota; Metazoa; Chordata; Actinopteri; Anguilliformes; Anguillidae. The transcript has 2 exons.
UACAUACAUGCAAGCACAUGUACACUUACAAACACAGGGGUACAUACAUGCAAGCACAUGUACACCUACAAACAUACACCUGCAUACAUGCACACAUCGAUACACACGCUGACAGGCACCGCAAAUAAUAUCAAAUAAAAGGUAAAGUAUGUGAUGAAGGGUAAAGUGGGAUUUUACAUCAGGAAGAUAUAAAACAUUCAUCAAACAGCCAUACAUCCUUUGCACAGCAUUUAGGAAGCACUGUUGAUUUAUUUUAUUAAGUAAAUACGUACUAGAUAUCUCACAUAAUAAUGCAUUGAUAUUGAUAUUGAUAGUGAUAUUAGUGACUCUUGCAACUGUUGUUGGGGGGAACAAAAAUAGUGGAUCAAUGUUAUUAUUUUUAUCAGAGCACAAAGGUUGGCGGUUGGCUUAGUAAAAUGUAUUAAAUUAAUUUAGCUAUAAAAACACUCCAUUGAUUUGUUUUAAAGGGAAGAAAAUGUUGCUUAAUGGAUUCAACUAGGCCUAGAUUAAUCUGAUUUUUUUUUUUUUUUUUAAGAAAGGAAAGAAAUUUGAAUUUUGGUAAAAACAUUGUUUGGUUUCGUGGAAAAGCCCUCCACAUUUACAGAAACACACAGUGUUCUGAGACUCAUGACAUCACGUGACAUCACAUCAUUUUAAGAUUUUCAGGAGCUGCUCUUAUCCAGAGUGACUUACGUCAAUGCACACACACAGCUACAGGCAGCAAAUAGCCUGAUGCACUCUCAAAAAGCAUGUGUUUACAAACACACACUUUUUGUGUUGUGUUACUUUCAACACAUUUCGUGUCUAAGUUACAACUUUUGUGUUACAAAUGCACAAUUUACAGUCUUACAAAGAGAGGCUUUUUACUACAGACUAUGUGGAAAGUAAUACAAAAUGUGUUGUCCUUAACGUGACAUAGAGGUGUGUUAAAAAACUGACGCAUUGUGUGUUGUUUUUAACACAUUUUGAGAGUGUACCAUGUCAUUUGUAUAGCAACAAGUAGUAUCUUUUAACACAUAACUUACUCUGACGUAGCAAAUACAUGAAACCUUCAACAUAAUGUUAAGCACCUCAGUAGGUGCAAGACGAAAACUGAGCUUCAUAUUCACAAAGCCUUUCAAAUUGGUAGUACUGGUCUAAAGUCAUCAGUCUGUUCAUUUGAAUAGUCACUAGGGCAAGUGUUCAUGGGCACAGACUCCCUCUCCUCCAACCCCCAAAUCAGCCCUCAAACUGAUUGUGAAGCUUUAUGAAUUUGGGCCUGAGAAUGUGCUGACUCAAGCAGAACACGGGUGUCACAAUCCAAAGGUCGUGCUCCCUACACAGGUAGAUGAAACUGCAAAAGGAAUGAUGCUUCCUAGGAGAGUGCCCAACACUCAAAUUAGCCCCGGUGGGAUAACCAGGGGAAAGAAAAGGAUGAGAAAUGUGUGGCAGUUGAGAAAGAAAGGCAAAACAGAAGUGCCUCUCGCCCUUUUUUUGGAUCUCUGUUCACGGUUGGGGCUGUGGUUUGUGGGAGUGUUUAUCUGCGGUGUCAAGCUGCUCAUUGUAUAAAAAAAAAAUUUUGGUUUUAAGAAAAAUAAUAACUUUCACUUUCUGUGACGCAAAUGAAUAUUGUGACAAACGUUUUCACUUUUUUUCUUCUUUUGUUGUCUGUGUAGCUUUGGCUUAAUUCUGUCUGCACUACGCAAACGGCAUACGCAUCAUUAAAUUGGGUCAUUUUGCAAUUUCACAGUGACAUUUUUAAUGUACAGCAUUUUAGAUAUUUGUGGAAACAUUAAAUUCUGAAAGGUUUUUGAGAGAAUGAAGAACAAUAAAGGAUCUGAAUACUGAA